RNAcentral lists this ribosomal RNA (448 nucleotides) under uncultured bacterium. RNAcentral describes it as "bacterial SSU rRNA". It matches the Rfam family "Bacterial small subunit ribosomal RNA", at positions 354 to 796 of the family's 1533-position model. The record is from RNAcentral.
GUCUAGAGGCUUCGGCAAUGGGGGCAACCCUGACCGAGCGACGCCGCGUGUGGGAUUGAAGGCGUUUUCGUUGUAAACCACUGUGGAGCGGGAAGAAUGCCCUGAUGGUGAAUCAGGGAGGGACGGUACCGCUCUAGAAAGCCCCGGCUAACUCCGUGCCAGCAGCCGCGGUAAUACGGGGGGGGCAAGCGUUGUUCGGAUUUACUGGGCGUAAAGGGAGUGUAGGCGGUUGAUCAAGUCUGAUGUGAAAGCUUUACCACUCAACGGAAAGAUGUCAUCGGAUACUGGUCGGCUGGAGUGGGGUAGAGGCAAGCGGAAUUCCUGGUGUAGCGGUGGAAUGUGUAGAUAUCAGGAAGAACAUCUGUGGCGAAGGCGGCUUGCUGGGCCCUUACUGACGCUGAGACUCGAAAGCGUGGGGAGCAAACGGGAUUAGAUACCCGAGUAGUCC